Molecule: ribosomal RNA, 393 nt
Filed under: uncultured eukaryote
Lineage: Eukaryota
Description: partial small subunit ribosomal RNA
Rfam family: Eukaryotic small subunit ribosomal RNA
Source: RNAcentral
AGCUCCAAUAGCGUAUAUUAAAGUUGUUGCAGUUAAAAAGCUCGUAGUUGGAUUUCUGUUUCGGACGUCCGGUCUGUUUAUUCAUUUAAACGUGUACUAUGGAUGUUUGGAUCAUAUUUUGCGAGAGCCUGCUACUGUCAUUAAGUUGUCUGGUAGUCUGGACUUGCAUCGUUUACUGUGAAAAAAUUAGAGUGUUUAAAGCAGGCGUUCGCUUUUGAAUACAUUAGCAUGGAAUAAUAAGAUACGACUUUGGUGGUCUAUUUUGUUGGUUUGCACACCAGAGUAAUGAUUAAUAGGGACAGUUGGGGGUAUUCAUAUUUGAGCGUCAGAGGUGAAAUUCUUGGAUCGCUGAAAGAUGAGCUUAGGCGAAAGCAUUUACCAUGGAUGUUUUCA